This 201-nucleotide ribosomal RNA is filed under the name uncultured bacterium. RNAcentral's name for it is "partial 16S ribosomal RNA". It matches the Rfam family "Bacterial small subunit ribosomal RNA", at positions 135 to 334 of the family's 1533-position model. The record is from RNAcentral.
AGUGCAGAAUAACCCUGCGAAAGCAGAGCUAAUACUGCAUGUGGUUGUCGGAUGGCAUCAUCUGACAACUAAAGUCGCAAGACUCUCUCAGAUGGGCCCGCGGCCUAUUAGCUAGUUGGUGAGGUAACGGCCCACCAAGGCUAUGAUGGGUAGCUGGUCUGAGAGGACGGACAGCCACACUGGGACUGAGACACGGCCCAG